RNAcentral lists this ribosomal RNA (492 nucleotides) under uncultured bacterium. RNAcentral's name for it is "partial 16S ribosomal RNA". It matches the Rfam family "Bacterial small subunit ribosomal RNA", at positions 29 to 507 of the family's 1533-position model. The record is from RNAcentral.
AGUGAACGCUGGCGGUAUGCCUAACACAUGCAAGUCGAACGGAAGGACAAUGAGAUCGCUCUCUUACGGUUGGCGACGGGCGGACGGGUGAGAAGUAGAUCGGAAUCUACUAUUUCGUGGAGGAUAACGUAGGGAAGCUUACGCUAAUACCUCAUACUACCUACGGGUGAAAUCAGGAGAUAUUGGGACCUUGCGCGACUGAAUUAGCUGAUGUCGGAUUAGCUAGUUGGUGGGGUAAAGGCCCACCAAGGCAACGAUCCGUUGCUGGUCUGAGAGGAUGAUCAGCCACAAUGGAACUGAGACACGGUCCAGACUCCUACGGGAGGCAGCAGUGGGGAAUCUUGGACAAUGGGCGAAAGCCUGACCGAGCAAUACCGCGUGAGUGAAGAAGGCCUUCGGAUUGUAAAGCUCUUUUGUUAGGAAAGAAAAGACGUAGGUUAAUCUGUGGCUGUUCUGACGGUACCUAAACAAUAAGCACCGGCUAACUUCGUG